This 307-nucleotide ribosomal RNA is filed under the name uncultured eukaryote. Its description in RNAcentral is "partial 18S ribosomal RNA". It matches the Rfam family "Eukaryotic small subunit ribosomal RNA", at positions 1470 to 1796 of the family's 1831-position model. The record is from RNAcentral.
CCCUUAGACGUUCUGGGCCGCACGCGCGCUACACUGACGAAGGCAACGAGCUUUCCUUUACCGAAAGGUACGGGUAAUCUUUUGAGACUUCGUCGUGCUGGGGAUAGAUCCUUGCAAUUUUUGAUCUUAAACGAGGAAUGCCUAGUAAGCGCAAGUCAUCAACUUGCGUUGAUUACGUCCCUGCCCUUUGUACACACCGCCCGUCGCUACUACCGAUUGAAUGGUUUAGUGAGGCCUUCGGAUCCGCGACUCGUUUGUGGAGAAGUUGGACAAACUCAGUCAUUUAGAGGAAGUAAAAGUCGUAACA